RNAcentral lists this non-coding RNA (90 nucleotides) under uncultured Sporosarcina sp. Its description in RNAcentral is "Purine riboswitch". It matches the Rfam family "Purine riboswitch aptamer". Rfam says of the family: Riboswitches are metabolite binding domains within certain messenger RNAs that serve as precision sensors for their corresponding targets. Allosteric rearrangement of mRNA structure is mediated by ligand binding, and this results in modulation of gene expression. Lineage: Bacteria; Bacillati; Bacillota; Bacilli; Caryophanales; Caryophanaceae. The record is from RNAcentral.
AAAAAAUACGUAACAUCAUCGUAUAAUCUUGGGGAUAUGGCCUGAGAGUCUCUACCGGACACCUUAAAUGUUCGCCUACGAUGACUGGAG